RNAcentral lists this ribosomal RNA (840 nucleotides) under Peanut witches'-broom phytoplasma. RNAcentral's name for it is "bacterial SSU rRNA". It matches the Rfam family "Bacterial small subunit ribosomal RNA", at positions 380 to 1227 of the family's 1533-position model. Lineage: Bacteria; Bacillati; Mycoplasmatota; Mollicutes; Acholeplasmatales; Acholeplasmataceae. The record is from RNAcentral.
GCUCUGACCGAGCAACGCCGCGUGAACGAUGAAGUACUUCGGUAUGUAAAGUUCUUUUAUUAAGGAAGAAAACAGCCCGGCGAACCGGGCUUUUGACGGUACUUAAGGAAUCAGCCCCGGCUAAUUAUGUGCCAGCAGCCGCGGUAAUACAUAAGGGGCGAGUGUUAUCCGGAAUUAUUGGGCGUAAAGGGUGCGUAGGCGGUGAAGUUAGUCAAUGGUGUAAUGGCAGCGCUUAACGGUGUCCGGCUAUUGAAACUGCUUCACUCGAGUGAGAUAGAGGCGAGUGGAAUUCCAUGUGUAGCGGUAAAAUGUGUAAAUAUAUGGAGGAACACCAGAGGCGUAGGCGGCUCGCUGGGUCUUGACUGACGCUGAGGCACGAAAGCGUGGGGAGCAAACAGGAUUAGAUACCCUGGUAGUCCACGCCGUAAACGAUGAGUACUAAGUGUCGGGUUCCCCCGGUACUGAAGUUAACACAUUAAGUACUCCGCCUGAGUAGUACGUACGCAAGUAUGAAACUUAAAGGAAUUGACGGGACUCCGCACAAGCGGUGGAUCAUGUUGUUUAAUUCGAAGAUACGCGAAAAACCUUACCAGGCCUUGACAUGUUCGUGCAAUGCAGUAGUAAUAUUGCGGAGGUUAUCACGAUCACAGGUGGUGCAUGGUUGUCGUCAGCUCGUGUCGUGAGAUGUUAGGUUAAGUCCUAAAACGAGCGAAACCCUUGUCAUUAGUUGCCAGCAUGUUAAGAUGGGGACUCUAACGAGACUGCCAGUGACAAACUGGAGGAAGGUGGGGAUUACGUCAAAUCAGCAUGCCCCUUAUGGCCUGGGCUACAAACGUGAUA